CCUACGGGAGGCAGCAGUGGGGAAUAUUGCGCAAUGGGCGAAAGCCUGACGCAGCGAAGCCGCGUGAGGGAUGAAGGUCUUCGGAUCGGAAACCUCUGUUAGCAGGGAAGAACGGUCACUGUGCUAAUCAGCAGUGAAUUGACGGUACCUGCAAAGGAAGCACCGGCUAACGCCGGGCCAGCAGCAGCGGUAAUGCGGAGGGUGCGAGCGUUAAUCGGAGUUACUGGGCGUAAAGCGCUCGUAGGCGGUAUGUCAAGUCAAGGGUGAAAUCCCCGCGCUCAACGUGGGAACUGCCUUUGAAACUGGCAAACUGGAGUGUGUGAGAGGAGAGUGGAAUUCCAGGUGUAGGAGUGAAAUCCGUAGAUAUCUGGAGGAACAUCAGUGGCGAAGGCGACUAUCUGGCACAUAACUGACGCUGAGGAGCGAAAGCGUGGGUAGCAAACAGGAUUAGAUACCCUUGUAGUC
This 465-nucleotide ribosomal RNA is filed under the name uncultured bacterium. Its description in RNAcentral is "partial 16S ribosomal RNA". It matches the Rfam family "Bacterial small subunit ribosomal RNA", at positions 338 to 795 of the family's 1533-position model. The record is from RNAcentral.